AUCCAAGAUAAAAUCACAAAGAUAGCUGAAUCCGCCGCUUCUUUUACUUCAAUGAAGCAAGGAGAGGUGACAAUCAAGGAAGUCAUGGAUAUGGUCUUGGAAUUUGGGGCCGUGCACGGUUCCGAUGAGCAUGAUAUUGCCACGCAGUUAUUUGUGAAGAAGGACCAACGGGAAAUGUUCAAGACCCUUCCUAAAGAGUUUAGGUUCAAUUGGCUUAAGAGGAGAUACAACGACAAGUAUGGAAAUUGA
RNAcentral lists this ribosomal RNA (249 nucleotides) under Triticum aestivum (bread wheat). RNAcentral describes it as "partial small subunit ribosomal RNA". The record is from RNAcentral. Lineage: Eukaryota; Viridiplantae; Streptophyta; Magnoliopsida; Poales; Poaceae.